This 73-nucleotide transfer RNA is filed under the name Schistocerca americana (American grasshopper). RNAcentral's name for it is "tRNA-Met". It matches the Rfam family "tRNA". From Rfam's summary of the family: Transfer RNA (tRNA) molecules are approximately 80 nucleotides in length. Their secondary structure includes four short double-helical elements and three loops (D, anti-codon, and T loops). Further hydrogen bonds mediate the characteristic L-shaped molecular structure. tRNAs have two regions of fundamental functional importance: the anti-codon, which is responsible for specific mRNA codon recognition, and the 3' end, to which the tRNAs corresponding amino acid is attached (by aminoacyl-tRNA synthetases). tRNAs cope with the degeneracy of the genetic code in two manners: having more than one tRNA (with a specific anti-codon) for a particular amino acid; and 'wobble' base-pairing, i.e. permitting non-standard base-pairing at the 3rd anti-codon position. The record is from RNAcentral. Lineage: Eukaryota; Metazoa; Arthropoda; Insecta; Orthoptera; Acrididae.
GCCUCGUUAGCGCAGUAGGCAGCGCGUAAGUCUCAUAAUCUUAAGGUCGUGAGUUCGAUCCUCACCCGGGGCA